RNAcentral lists this ribosomal RNA (385 nucleotides) under uncultured bacterium. RNAcentral describes it as "bacterial SSU rRNA". It matches the Rfam family "Bacterial small subunit ribosomal RNA", at positions 370 to 772 of the family's 1533-position model. The record is from RNAcentral.
AAUGGGCGAAAGCCUGAUCCAGCCAUGCCGCGUGAGUGAUGAAGGCCUUAGGGUUGUAAAGCUCUUUCAGUGGGGAUGAUAAUGACAGUACCCACAGAAGAAGCCCCGGCUAACUUCGUGCCAGCAGCCGCGGUAAUACGAAGGGGGCUAGCGUUGUUCGGAUUUACUGGGCGUAAAGCGCACGUAGGCGGAUUGUUAAGUCAGGGGUGAAAUCCCAGAGCUCAACUCUGGAACUGCCUUUGAUACUGGCAAUCUCGAGUCCGGAAGAGGUGAGUGGAACUCCUAGUGUAGAGGUGGAAUUCGUAGAUAUUAGGAAGAACACCAGUGGCGAAGGCGGCUCACUGGUCCGGUACUGACGCUGAGGUGCGGCAGCGUGGGGAGCAAA